CCUUAGUGUGUCUGUUGGAAGGAAUGUAGGAAUUCAGGUUCUGUAAAAGCACUCUCCUCUCAUAAUUGCUACUUGGAGGUUUUUUUAUGUGUGCUUGGUUGUUGUUUUUUUAUCAUUCCUAAUGCUGUGGAAGGAUCUGGCACAUCCAAAGGAACUCAGAUAGGA
RNAcentral lists this long non-coding RNA (165 nucleotides) under Coturnix japonica (Japanese quail). Its description in RNAcentral is "lncRNA (ENSCJPG00005017638.1)". Lineage: Eukaryota; Metazoa; Chordata; Aves; Galliformes; Phasianidae. The record is from RNAcentral.